RNAcentral lists this ribosomal RNA (479 nucleotides) under uncultured bacterium. RNAcentral's name for it is "bacterial SSU rRNA". It matches the Rfam family "Bacterial small subunit ribosomal RNA", at positions 28 to 507 of the family's 1533-position model. The record is from RNAcentral.
GAUGAACGCUAGCGGGAGGCCUAAUACAUGCAAGUCGAACGGUAAGGUCCUUCGGGAUACACGAGUGGCAAACGGGUGCGUAACGCGUACGGAACAUGCCUCUAUCAGAGAGAUAGCCCUGGGAAACUGGGUAUAAUACCUCAUAGUAUUGUAUUGCCGCAUGGUAUUUACAAUUAAAGCUCCGGCGGAUAGAGAUUGUCGUGCGUCCCAUUAGCUAGUUGGUAAGGUAACGGCUUACCAAGGCGACGAUGGGUAACUGGUUUGAGAGGAUGAUCAGUCACACUGGAACUGAGACACGGUCCAGACUCCUACGGGAGGCAGCAGUAGGGAAUAUUGGACAAUGGACGCAAGUCUGAUCCAGCCAUCCCGCGUGCAGGAUUAAGGCCCUCUGGGUUGUAAACUGCUUUUAUUAGAGAAGAAAACCUCAGAUUUAUCUGAACUUGACGGUAUCUAAUGAAUAAGCACCGGCUAACUCCGUG